CGAAAGCCUGACGGAGCAAGACCGCGUGGGGGAGGAAGGCUCUUGGGUUGUAAACCCCUUUUAUCAGGGAAGAAUCAAUGACGGUACCUGAUGAAUCAGCCUCGGCUAACUCCGUGCCAGCAGCCGCGGUAAUACGGAGGAGGCAAGCGUUAUCCGGAAUUAUUGGGCGUAAAGAGUCCGUAGGUGGUGGGGCAAGUCGGCGGUUAAAGACUGGGGCUUAACUCCAGAAAAGCCGUGGAAACUGCACCACUAGAGGGCAGUAGGGGUAGAGGGAAUUCCCGGUGUAGCGGUGAAAUGCGUAGAUUUCGGGAAGAACAUCGGUGGCGAAAGCGCUCUGCUGGGCCGCAACUGACACUCAGGGACGAAAGCUAGGGGGGCG
RNAcentral lists this ribosomal RNA (379 nucleotides) under uncultured cyanobacterium. RNAcentral's name for it is "bacterial SSU rRNA". It matches the Rfam family "Bacterial small subunit ribosomal RNA", at positions 376 to 770 of the family's 1533-position model. The record is from RNAcentral. Lineage: Bacteria; Bacillati; Cyanobacteriota.